GUCUCCCCGGAUAUUAGUAUGUAUGGGGAGUCGGACCUGCCCGGUGACUUAAUGUUAAACGGCCGCGGUACCCUAACCGUGCAAAGGUAGCAUAAUCAUUUGCCUUUUAAUUGGAGGCUGGUAUGAAUGGUUUGACGAAAGCUAAGCUGUCUCUCCUAAAAUAAGUAGAAUUUAACUUUUAGGUGAAGAGGCCUAAAUUUAUUUGAGGGACAAGAAGACCCUGUUGAGCUUUAGUGAAUUUGUGGGCCAAAAAACUUAAUGUGGUUAAGAUAAAGUGUAUUUUAUAACUUAUUUUGCAAAUAGAUCUUUAGUUGGGGCGACUAAGGAACCGGGAAAGCUUCCUUUGUUAGUUGUAGUUUGUGAGUAGAAAAUAAUCGAUUUUGUCGGGAUGGAAAUGAUCCAAAAAUUUUGAUUAAAGGAAAAAGUUACCACAGGGAUAACAGCGUAAUCUUUCUGGAGAGAUCAAAUCGAAAGAAGGGUUUGCGACCUCGAUGUUGGACUAAGAUAUCCGGAGGGUGUAGAAGUUCUCUAUGGUUGGUCUGUUCGACCAUUAAAAUCUU
Molecule: ribosomal RNA, 560 nt
Filed under: Stomatellinae gen. 1 sp. JEU-2016
Lineage: Eukaryota; Metazoa; Mollusca; Gastropoda; Trochida; Trochidae
Description: partial 16S ribosomal RNA
Rfam family: Bacterial large subunit ribosomal RNA
Source: RNAcentral